GUGAGUAACCUGCCCUUGACUCUGGGAUAAGCCUGGGAAACUGGGUCUAAUACUGGAUACUACCUCUUGCCGCAUGGUGGGUGGUGGAAAGGGUUUUACUGGUUUUGGAUGGGCUCACGGCCUAUCAGCUUGUUGGUGGGGUAAUGGCUCACCAAGGCGACGACGGGUAGCCGGCCUGAGAGGGUGACCGGCCACACUGGGACUGAGACACGGCCCACACUCCUACGGGAGGCAGCAGUGGGGAAUAUUGCACAAUGGGCGGAAGCCUGGAUGCAGCGACGCCACGUGAGGGAUGACGGCCUUCGGGUUGUAAACCUCUUUCCAUAGGGAAGAAAGUGACGGUACACUGCAGAAGAAGCGCCGGCUAACUACGUGCCAGCAGCCGCGGUAAUACGUAGGGCGCAAGCGUUGUCCGGAAUUAUUGGGCGUAAAGAGCCUCUAGAGCGUUUGAUCGCGUCUGC
Molecule: ribosomal RNA, 461 nt
Filed under: Kocuria himachalensis
Lineage: Bacteria; Bacillati; Actinomycetota; Actinomycetes; Micrococcales; Micrococcaceae
Description: bacterial SSU rRNA
Rfam family: Bacterial small subunit ribosomal RNA
Source: RNAcentral